Molecule: long non-coding RNA, 1334 nt
Filed under: Homo sapiens (human)
Lineage: Eukaryota; Metazoa; Chordata; Mammalia; Primates; Hominidae
Description: HSALNT0293984
Source: RNAcentral
GCCGCUGACCCGCCGCCUCCGUCUGCCUCCUCCCGGGCUCUGGGCCCAGCGCGCCCAGAUGCCGGGCAGGACCCCUCCGCCCGCUGCUGGAACACCAAUAGCAGCGUUGGAGCCUCUGGGCCGGAGGAACUGGGGCCUCCACCGACACCUGCUUCUUCCCUCACCUCGCAGCCUUCCACACCUGUUGAUCUGACCUCUGCCCCGCUGCCGCCCAGGAGUAACCUAAGGCUUUUGGCCUGAUUCGAGCUCACUCCGUCUAAACCUCUAAAUGCGGUGCGAAAAAAUCCUGGGGAAUGUGCCAUGCAAAGCCUGGGCAUUUCAAGUGCUUUUCUGGAUUCGCAUCAACUCCUCUUUACAGGCAUCUUUAUCCGGAAUUCAGCUCGUCCCAAACCCCACGUGGUGUAGCUCUGCUUGUGUUUUUGAAUCCCGGGGCCUCUUUGAAUCAGAAGCCCUUUGUAUAGAGAUAAGUAUCCUUUAGGCCAGAAUCAGCCUCCAUUUUUUUCGCAGUCCCAUUUCCUACCCGUAAUACUUUCUUCUGAUUUUAAAGCCAUUUGAUAGAGAAGGGACAGGGAACAGAACCUUCGCCCCCCGCCUGAGCAGCUGGUAGACUAGAUAUCUUCCAAACAUUAUCUCAUUUACUUCCCUGGAGUUACAAAUAGGUAGAUUUCAUGUCCGUUGAGGGGUGAGAAAGCUGAAACUUUGAGACUUAAGAAUCCUGGCCGAGGUCAGCCUCCUCCGAAGCUUCAUCUCUUGCCACCACUUUCUGGUGCACACCUAGGACAGAUUUCAAUCCCUGAGAUCCCAGGAUGAAACCUAUGUUUGCCAAAUACCAGCUACUGUGCCAGAAGAGAUCAUGGAACCAGGUGUGGAAAGCUGCUUGAGAAGAGGAGCCAAAACAUCAUAGUUGAACCGUCCUGGAAUAGAAACUCGCCCUGAAUUCUUUCUUGUGUGAAAUCCAAGAGCCCUCUCUUGGGGUUGGAUCGGGACCCUGUUCCUGUAACAAGUCCACAAUGCCAGAGAAUUAAAGAGAACCACAAAGAGCAAAGGGAAAAACAGCUAAGUGUUUCCUGGCUGAAUUUUAUUUUGCUUUCAGUUUCUGCCAUUUCAGUUCCUGUUAUCGUGCUUUGAGGUGCACUGAACUGCAGCAAACCCAGGGGAUCCAAGGCUACGUUGAAAAGCCUUUGACCACAGUGCAGGGAGCAGAAGACAUUAAUGACGUGAUGUCGACACAGCCCGCACUCAGGAUCCUCCAGGAAAAGAACACAGAGAUAACCCCGGAUCGAUGGUACUUUUUGAAAAUGCUUUAUUGCAAAAGAGUGGCUAGGGUUUUACAA